Long non-coding RNA from Rosa rugosa (rugosa rose), 757 nucleotides. RefSeq lists it as uncharacterized. The transcript is spliced from 3 exons. The record is from RefSeq and is a predicted model, not a curated record. Lineage: Eukaryota; Viridiplantae; Streptophyta; Magnoliopsida; Rosales; Rosaceae.
GGGGUUCGAAUGGUGUUUUGGUGCAGCCAUGUUAAAACGGCUUCUAGUUUGGGAGAGAAGAUUGGACCCGAGCAUGUGCACUUGGAUUUGGAUAAAGGAUCGAAAGUCGGGAACGAACCCGAAUGAGGGCAAGCACUCCAAUUCCAGUGUGCAGGUUUCGAGCAUGUGGUCGGGAGGCGUACAGGGGAGGCACAUGACCCGGCUUGGCGCAUUUCUCUUUAGCUUUAUCAAGAGAUGGUUUUGGUCCCUUAUCGGAUUUUGAAGUAACCUACCUAUUUACUUCUUAUUUAAUUGUUUGUUUUCUACUCCCUUAUUUACAAAACUUUGGGAGACCCGUAACCCUGGGGCGCGUCUCUCAUACUUGCAUUUACUUAGUGAUUUGUUAUUUUCCAAAUUGGGCUCCUAUUAUAAGCCCAAAUCCUUUAGCCCACUUUGAAUUCCGCAAUUGAAAAUCUGUUGUUAGGUUGCUAGAAUGAUUUGUCCAAGAAAGUGUUUUGUGAACCAACAGUCCAAACCCAAAAGGCCUUGCGUUUUCGGGUUAAUGAGUUAUCGGGAUGCCAUUCGUGACAUGUCGGUUUCUCACUGGCUCGGAAUCGCGGCGCUGUGGGACUCCCCUCUCGGGUCACCACAGUAAAGUGGUAUCAGAGCCCUAGGUUCCGAAGUACUUUUGAAAUUGUUUUUACAAAUCUAGCAACUCUUUUCAAAGGUUUCAAGUGUCGAAUUUGGUUAAGCAAAACGCUUGGUUUUCUUGGGCAAA